GACCGGACGCCGUGCAACAAACAGUCAUGAACCUCGUCAGGUCCGGAAGGAAGCAGCGAUAAGUGAUGUUGUUUGUGUCGCGGAUCGAUCCCGGUCAUA
RNAcentral lists this signal recognition particle RNA (99 nucleotides) under Desulfobacterales bacterium. Its description in RNAcentral is "signal recognition particle sRNA small type". It matches the Rfam family "Bacterial small signal recognition particle RNA". Rfam says of the family: The signal recognition particle (SRP) is a universally conserved ribonucleoprotein involved in the co-translational targeting of proteins to membranes. The record is from RNAcentral. Lineage: Bacteria; Pseudomonadati; Thermodesulfobacteriota; Desulfobacteria; Desulfobacterales.